Molecule: ribosomal RNA, 482 nt
Filed under: uncultured bacterium
Lineage: Bacteria
Description: partial 16S ribosomal RNA
Rfam family: Bacterial small subunit ribosomal RNA
Source: RNAcentral
AUUGAACGCUGGCGGCAUGCCUUACACAUGCAAGUCGAACGGUAACAGGUCUUCGGAUGCUGACGAGUGGCGAACGGGUGAGUAAUACAUCGGAACGUGCCCGAUCGUGGGGGAUAACGAAGCGAAAGCUUUGCUAAUACCGCAUACGAUCUACGGAUGAAAGCAGGGGACCGCAAGGCCUGGCGCGAACGGAGCGGCCGAUGGCAGAUUAGGUAGUUGGUGGGAUAAAAGCUUACCAAGCCGACGAUCUGUAGCUGGUCUGAGAGGACGACCAGCCACACUGGGACUGAGACACGGCCCAGACUCCUACGGGAGGCAGCAGUGGGGAAUUUUGGACAAUGGGCGAAAGCCUGAUCCAGCCAUGCCGCGUGCAGGAUGAAGGCCUUCGGGUUGUAAACUGCUUUUGUACGGAACGAAAAGACUCUGGUUAAUACCUGGGGUCCAUGACGGUACCGUAAGAAUAAGCACCGGCUAACUACGUG